GGGAGGAGUCGGAACAACUCCCAGGUUUCUGGCUGGGUCAGCGGGGCGUAGGUGUGGCCGUUCCCCAAGAUACGGAAGGCUGGAGGCGCAGGAUUCUUGGGUGAGAUGAUUAUCUGUGUGGAAUACGGUGCAUUUGAGGGCUGUGCACGGCAUAUCCAGGAGGACAUGUCUGGGAGGCAGUUGGACAUGGAGAACGGGACUCCGGAGAGAGAGCCUCUUCCCUGUGCCAUUUGAUCAACCAAUCAACAUACAGCAAGACUUUCCAGCUUGCCACAGGCCCCACCAUGCCCUCAUGUGUGCCACCAGGCUUGCAUCCCUCAUUGAUGUCACCUGCCUGGCCCUUGAAGCAUGCCCUGGAUGCUGACCAGCCCUGAGUGUAGAGCUGACUUGAACAAGGUCCCUGCUCACAGGCACCACGGUAAGAGAUGUGAAUGUGGGAUACCGUGGGCCUGGUGAGGUGGCUGGCUCCUUUGUAGAUGCCUCAUAGCACACCUGCCUCUUGUUUUUCUGCAUGCUGGUGGCGUUUGUGUGUGUGUGUGUGUGUGUGUUCCCCAUAAACCCAUGUCUGCCUUUAAUCAAUUUCUACUUGGAAAGUGAGCCUGGGUGGCCACGGUUUGAGAUGGUACCCACCUCUUGGGGUCCAGAUAAGCUCCUCUAGGGUGAUGAAGGGAUUGUCGGGCUCCUUCGUCAGCCCCAGCGGCCCACAGCUCAGAUGUGCAGCCCUUGGGAAGCCCUCAGCCUGGGUCCUGGCCUCACUGAGGCCCCGAGGCCCCCAUCUUCCUGCCCAGGAGGGAUGAACCAGCCUGGAGGCAGGCAGCAGAGCAGGAAUGCAGCCUCUGCUAGCUCCUGACAGGGCAUCUCUGGGAGGCCCCCAGAUCCUCAGGGCUGCGGCUCUGCCGGGGAAGCGGGGAUUAGGAGCCUAAUUCCGCCGAGAAUCCUGUUUUUCUUAGCCUCACACAGAUUGCUCUUUGGGAAAGGCCCCUCAUCUAAUUAGCCUGAGUCAACAGCUCCAUUUAUUUGGACACGUGAUGUUAUGAAACGGGCUGCUGCUGGUGUGUUUUCGUAGCGCAUAUCUGGACUGCCCCUCCAGGAUGGCAUCGGGAGGCUGCCUGGCCCGAUGAGAAAACUGAAGUGCAGAGAGGCUGAGCGACUUGCCCCAGGUCACACAGCCAGGAAGGAGCAGAGCUGGGUGUUCAGGCCUGUGUGACUCCAGAGACUGGCAGGAAGAUCCUCUUCCUCUGGCCGCCCCAACUCCCAGCAAGUCACAGGCUUUGGUCUUAGUGAACUGUAGUGGGCUUCUUGCCGCCCCUUCUCUGGGCUGUUAUUUUUGCUAGAUGGGUCAGUCAAGGUGGGCAUUUGACACGCUGGGCCGCAUGGAAGUCACCCUGGAGAAAGGGGCAGAAGCUCUAUCCUGCUGCCUCCUUCCUGUGCCCUGACCUCGAGUUCCUACUGACCUAACGUUUGCCUGGACCCUUUCUGCGUGUGCAUACCAGAGCCGAAAGGAAAGAAGGAGGACCAGCCAGGGUGGCCUUGUCAUCCUUUCCCCAGAGCACAGAGCGCUUGGGGUGGAGUGUUCAUCCCCUUUUGGCCAAAUAGAACAUGUGUGAACAGCAGCGGCUCAGCAUAGCGUUUUGGGGCCCUUCCACGCGUGGCUGGAAAAGCAGAGGAUCGGGAGAGGCGGGAGCCCAAGGGACAUUGCCUGAUGGAUUAAAAAAACAAAUUCCAGCGCUGGGCCUGGAAGCUUCUUAAAAAGGGGAGGAAAUUGAAACUCAGAAAGCUUCCAUGAUCGCCCAAAUCCCAAGGCCUGUGCCAUUGAUUGAAGUUUGUGUCCUCCCCAAAUUUGUAUGUUGAAAAGUUAAUGACCAAUGUGAUGGCGUUGGGAGGUGGGGCCUUUGCGAGGUGAUUGGGUCAUGAGGGCAGGGCCUUCAUGAAGGGGAUUAGUGUCCUUGUGAAAGAGCGUGGAGAAAGCUCCCAGGCCCCUUCCACCAUGUGAGGACACAGCCAGAAGGCACAGGCUACGAACCAGGAAGUGUUUUCACCACACCAAACCUGCCGGCACCUUGAUUUUGGACUUGCCAGCCUCCAGGACUGUGAGAAAUAAAUGUUUGCUGUUGAUAGACUUAUAAACACCUAGUUAUAAAAGACCUUAUAAAAGACCUAGUUCAUGGUCUUUUGUUAUAGCAGCUCAAAUGGACUAAGACACCGGUAAGAGAAGGUGCUGGGACUCAGGCUGUCUGAUACCGAAGUCUGGGCUCUCAGCCCCUAAGGGUCACACAUCCCCGAUUCUGAGGCCAGGAAUGCCCUCCUCCCAAGUCAAAGAUGGUCAUGGUCUUGAGACACUGGAGCCCACCUGGGGCUGCCAAUUGCGAUGUUUGAGAACCCUUCCUGUCAUGGCGCCGUGUACAAGCCAGGGAAUGGUUUUGCCAGUUUGGGCAAUCCCAGCUUUCUUGGUUCUAAACUAGUGAUUCUCAACCCUGGCUGCACAUUAAUGUCACCUGGGGAGCUUUGAAAAAUGCACACCACCCAGGCCACCAAGACCAGUCUCUUGGUGGGGCUGGGCAUCAGGACCUUGUUGAACUCCCUGGUGAUUCCAAGGAGCAUCCAGGCCUGAGAACCCCUCUGAAGGGAAACAGCUGGCUUUCGGGCUCCUGUUCCCUUCCACUGAGGGGCCAGGCUGGGGGCUGGGAGUGGAGGAGGGUUUGAGGCAAGGAGGGGGCAUGGGUAAGGAGGCAGUAAAAAGGGAGAGGUCGAGGCUGACAAAGAAUGUGUGGGGUGAGGGACCCUGACAGCUUAAGUAACUGGAUCAGGGUGCACACAGGGUAACUGGCAGAGCUGGAAAUCACACCACUGACAUGGUGGCAAAACCAUUGGAACCUCUUGUUACUGGGGAGACCCCAAGGGUAGCUCGGGUAGAGCUCCCCAAGACCUAGUUCUGCAUCCAGUUCUCGUCUCAAUGCAUCCUUUCUGCUGAUUCAGCCGCAUCCACGCCCAGGGCUUCUAUCAUUACCUGUAUCCCAAAUUUCUAUUUUCAGAGCAGACUGUUCCAUGGAGCUUCAAACCUAGACUGCAGUGACUCAUCUGACACCUCUCUUGGAUGACUCCAAGGCCCCCAGGGUUUCACAUGCCCAAGAAUAAACUCGUAACCACCUCCACCCCCAAUUGGUCCUUCCACAGGGUCCCAAGCCCAGUGAAUGGCACCAGGAAUCGUGCUUGACUCCCCUCCCUCACUGCCCCGUGCGUCACCAGCGUUCUUGGUCUAACCUUCUAAGUACCCGUCCAUCCUGUUCUCUUCUCUCCAUCUUCAUUGCCACCCUUUUAGCCAAGCUACCAUCGCCUUUGGUAAUUUCUUCUUUUUAUUUCUGGGUAAGUUAUUCUUGCUAAUGUGAUUAUUUGAUUUCUGCCUGCGUCUCCCGCCAGCUUAUACACUGGGUAAGGGCAGGGGCUAGCUUUUUGGUGACUUUUGUAUCCCCAGCACCUAGCACCUCAUCUGGGCCUCAAUAAACAUUUGUUGAAUACCUAAGUGAGUGAAUAACUUUAUUUUAAACUUUUGAUUCCUUCUGGGGUCUGUCAAUAUAGCGGCUACUCCACUAGAGCUUGCUGCUUUCAGGCUGAAAUCAA
This 3618-nucleotide long non-coding RNA is filed under the name Equus caballus (horse). RNAcentral's name for it is "lncRNA (ENSECAG00000049514.1)". The record is from RNAcentral. Lineage: Eukaryota; Metazoa; Chordata; Mammalia; Perissodactyla; Equidae.